Molecule: non-coding RNA, 28 nt
Filed under: Cricetulus griseus (Chinese hamster)
Lineage: Eukaryota; Metazoa; Chordata; Mammalia; Rodentia; Cricetidae
Also listed under: 1 other name
Source: RNAcentral
AAUCAUGGGAUGUAGAGACUGCAACAGA